UGGGGAAUAUUGCACAAUGGGGGAAACCCUGAUGCAGCGACGCCGCGUGAGUGAUGAAGUAUUUCGGUAUGUAAAGCUCUAUCAGCAGGGAAGAUAAUGACGGUACCUGACUAAGAAGCACCGGCUAAAUACGUGCCAGCAGCCGCGGUAAUACGUAUGGUGCAAGCGUUAUCCGGAUUUACUGGGUGUAAAGGGUGCGUAGGUGGUGAGACAAGUCUGAAGGGAAAAUCCGGGGCUUAACCCCGGAACUGCUUUGGAAACUGCCUGACUAGAGUACAGGAGAGGUAAGUGGAAUUCCUAGUGUAGCGGUGAAAUGCGUAGAUAUUAGGAGGAACACCAGUGGCGAAGGCGACUUACUGGACUGCUACUGACACUGAGGCACGAAAGCGUGGGGAGCAAACA
This 402-nucleotide ribosomal RNA is filed under the name uncultured prokaryote. RNAcentral's name for it is "bacterial SSU rRNA". It matches the Rfam family "Bacterial small subunit ribosomal RNA", at positions 355 to 774 of the family's 1533-position model. The record is from RNAcentral.